Molecule: ribosomal RNA, 2143 nt
Filed under: Plasmodium malariae
Lineage: Eukaryota; Apicomplexa; Aconoidasida; Haemosporida; Plasmodiidae
Description: SSU rRNA
Rfam family: Eukaryotic small subunit ribosomal RNA
Source: RNAcentral
CCUGGUUGAUCUUGCCAGUAGUCAUAUGCUUGUCUCAAAGAUUAAGCCAUGCAAGUGAAAGUAUAUGCAUAUUUUAUAUGUAGAAACUGCGAACGGCUCAUUAAAACAGUUAUAGUCUACUUGACAUUUUUUUUAUAAGGAUAACUACGGAAAAGCUGUAGCUAAUACUUGCUUUAAUACUCUUAAUUCUUUAUGUUUUUUGAGUAUGUAUUUGUUAAGCCUUAUAAGAGAAAAGUUUAUUAACUUAAGGAAUUAUAACAAAGAAGUAACACAUAAUAAAUUUCGAUUUAUUUAGUGGUAUCAAUCGAGUUUCUGACCUAUCAGCUUUUGAUGUUAGGGUAUUGGCCUAACAUGGCUAUGACGGGUAACGGGGAAUUAGAGUUCGAUUCCGGAGAGGGAGCCUGAGAAAUAGCUACCACAUCUAAGGAAGGCAGCAGGCGCGUAAAUUACCCAAUUCUAAAGAAGAGAGGUAGUGACAAGAAAUAACAAUGCAAGGCCAAAUUUUGGUUUUGCAAUUGGAAUGAUGGGAAUUUAAAACCUUCCCAGAAGGCAAUUGGAGGGCAAGUCUGGUGCCAGCAGCCGCGGUAAUUCCAGCUCCAAUAGCGUAUAUUAAAAUUGUUGCAGUUAAAACGCUCGUAGUUGAAUUUCAAGGAAUCAAUAUUUUAAGUAAUGCUUUGUAUAUUUAUAACAAAGUUGUACAUUAAGAAUAAACGCCAAGCGUUAUAUUUUUUCUGUUACAUUUUGUUUUAUUAAUAUAUAUAUGCGUUCUUAUUAUAAAAAUGAUUCUUUUUAAAAUUCUUUUGUAUAAUUUUUUAUGCAUGGGAAUUUUGUUACUUUGAGUAAAUUAGAGUGUUCAAAGCAAACAGUUAAAACAGUUUCUGUGUUUGAAUACUACAGCAUGGAAUAACAAAAUUGAACAAGUCAGAAUUUUGUUCUUUUUUCUUAUUUUGGCUUAGUUACGAUUAAUAGGAGUAGCUUGGGGGCAUUUGUAUUCAGAUGUCAGAGGUGAAAUUCUUAGAUUUUCUGGAGACAAGCAACUGCGAAAGCAUUUGCCUAAAAUACUUCCAUUAAUCAAGAACGAAAGUUAAGGGAGUGAAGACGAUCAGAUACCGUCGUAAUCUUAACCAUAAACUAUGCCGACUAGGUGUUGGAUGAUAGAGUAAAAAAUAAAAGAGACAUUCAUAUGAGUGUUUCUUUUAGAUAGCUUCCUUCAGUACCUUAUGAGAAAUCAAAGUCUUUGGGUUCUGGGGCGAGUAUUCGCGCAAGCGAGAAAGUUAAAAGAAUUGACGGAAGGGCACCACCAGGCGUGGAGCUUGCGGCUUAAUUUGACUCAACACGGGGAAACUCACUAGUUUAAGACAAGAGUAGGAUUGACAGAUUAAUAGCUCUUUCUUGAUUUCUUGGAUGGUGAUGCAUGGCCGUUUUUAGUUCGUGAAUAUGAUUUGUCUGGUUAAUUCCGAUAACGAACGAGAUCUUAACCUGCUAAUUAGCGGUAAAUACACUAUAUUCUUAAGUGAAAUUAGAAUAUAGAUAAAUUGUGCUAAUUUUGAUUAAAAUAUUAGAAUGUUUUUUUUAAUAAAAACGUUCUUUUCCCUUUUUUUCUUAAUUAUGCAUAUUUAUUCUUUUUCUUUUUUCGCAUAAGAAUGUAUUUGCUUAAUUGUAAAGCUUCUUAGAGGAACGAUGUGUGUCUAACACAAGGAAGUUUAAGGCAACAACAGGUCUGUGAUGUCCUUAGAUGAACUAGGCUGCACGCGUGCUACACUGAUAUGUAUAACGAGUAUUUAAAAAUAUAUAUCUUGUUAUGUUAUAUGUAUUUCUAUAUGUAUGCAUGCAAAGAAUAUAUAGUUUUCCUCCACUGAAAAGUGUAGGUAAUCUUUUUCAAUACAUAUCGUGAUGGGGAUAGAUUAUUGCAAUUAUUAAUCUUGAACGAGGAAUGCCUAGUAAGCAUGAUUCAUCAGAUUGUGCUGACUACGUCCCUGCCCUUUGUACACACCGCCCGUCGCUCCUACCGAUUGAAAGAUAUGAUGAAUUGUUUGGACAAGGAAAAAGGGUUUUUAUUCUUUUUUCUGGAAAAAUCGUAAAUCCUAUCUUUUAAAGGAAGGAGAAAGUCGUAACAAGGUUUCCGUCGGUGAACCUGCGGAAG